RNAcentral lists this small RNA (126 nucleotides) under Marmota monax (woodchuck). Lineage: Eukaryota; Metazoa; Chordata; Mammalia; Rodentia; Sciuridae. The record is from RNAcentral.
GCUGGGCAUAGUGGUGCAUGCCUGUAAUCCCAGGGCUAUGGAGGCUGAGGCAGGAGGAUUGCAAGUUCAAAGCCAGCCUCAGUAACUUAGCGAGGCCCUAAGCAACUCAGUGAGAUCCUGUCUCUA